GAUGAACGCUGGCGGCGUGCCUAAUACAUGCAAGUCGAGCGAACAGAUGAGGAGCUUGCUCCUCUGACGUUAGCGGCGGAAGGGUUAGUAACACGUGGAUAACCUACCUAUAAGACUGGGAUAACUUCGGGAAACCGGAGCUAAUACCGGAUAAUAUAUUGAACCGCAUGGUUCAAUAGUGAAAGACGGUUUUGCUGUCACUUAUAGAUGGAUCCGCGCCGCAUUAGCUAGUUGGUAAGGUAACGGCUUACCAAGGCAACGAUGCGUAGCCGACCUGAGAGGGUGAUCGGCCACACUGGAACUGAGACACGGUCCAGACUCCUACGGGAGGCAGCAGUAGGGAAUCUUCCGCAAUGGGCGAAAGCCUGACGGAGCAACGCCGCGUGAGUGAUGAAGGUCUUCGGAUCGUAAAACUCUGUUAUUAGGGAAGAACAAAUGUGUAAGUAACUAUGCACGUCUUGACGGUACCUAAUCAGAAAGCCACGGCUAACUACGUG
Molecule: ribosomal RNA, 497 nt
Filed under: uncultured bacterium
Lineage: Bacteria
Description: partial 16S ribosomal RNA
Rfam family: Bacterial small subunit ribosomal RNA
Source: RNAcentral